CUUAAAGGUAAGAAAGUGUGGUAGAAGUGAGAAGCAAGUUAAGACUUAUAAACGAUUAAAGUGUUUGGGAAAUAAGUAGAAGUCGUGAAACAAAAGCUAGCAUUCCUAGCUUUUUAUAAGUGCUUCUUGACUUUUUAUACAAACGAUACAAAUAAGUGCUUCUAACUUAUAAAUUCAGAAGCUGAGCUUAAAAGCCGAGCCAAACACCCCC
RNAcentral lists this long non-coding RNA (211 nucleotides) under Daucus carota (carrot). Its description in RNAcentral is "long non-coding RNA (DCAR_LNC001040)". Lineage: Eukaryota; Viridiplantae; Streptophyta; Magnoliopsida; Apiales; Apiaceae. The record is from RNAcentral.